GAUGAACGCUGGCGGCGUGCCUAAUACAUGCAAGUAGAACGCUGAAGCUUGGUGCUUGCACCGAGCGGAUGAGUUGCGAACGGGUGAGUAACGCGUAGGUAACCUGCCUCUUAGCGGGGGAUAACUAUUGGAAACGAUAGCUAAUACCGCAUAAAACUCGACAUCCCAUGAUGUUGACUUGAAAGGUGCAAUUGCAUCCCUAAGAGAUGGACCUGCGUUGUAUUUUCUAGCUGGUG
RNAcentral lists this ribosomal RNA (236 nucleotides) under uncultured Streptococcus sp. Its description in RNAcentral is "partial 16S ribosomal RNA". It matches the Rfam family "Bacterial small subunit ribosomal RNA", at positions 28 to 254 of the family's 1533-position model. The record is from RNAcentral. Lineage: Bacteria; Bacillati; Bacillota; Bacilli; Lactobacillales; Streptococcaceae.